GUGCCAGCAGCCGCGGUAAUACGUAGGGUGCGAGCGUUAAUCGGAAUUACUGGGCGUAAAGCGAGCGCAGACGGUUAAAUAAGUCAGAUGUGAAAUCCCCGAGCUCAACUUGGGACGUGCAUUUGAAACUGUGUAACUAGAGUAUUGUAGAGGAAGGUAGAAUUCCACGUGUAGCGGUGAAAUGCGUAGAGAUGUGGAGGAAUACCGGUGGCGAAGGCGGCCUUCUGGACAGAUACUGACGCUGAGAUGCGAAAGCGUGGGGAGCAAACAGGGAUUAGAUACCCUGGUAGUCCACGCUGUAAACGAUGUCGAUUUGGAGUUUGUUGCCUAGAGUGAUGGGCUCCGAAGCUAACGCGAUAAAUCGACCGCCUGGGGAGUACGGCCGCAAGGUUAAAACUCAAAGGAAUUGACGGGGGCCCGCACAAGCGGUGGAGCAUGUGGUUUAA
Molecule: ribosomal RNA, 446 nt
Filed under: uncultured bacterium
Lineage: Bacteria
Description: bacterial SSU rRNA
Rfam family: Bacterial small subunit ribosomal RNA
Source: RNAcentral